RNAcentral lists this ribosomal RNA (378 nucleotides) under uncultured bacterium. RNAcentral describes it as "bacterial SSU rRNA". It matches the Rfam family "Bacterial small subunit ribosomal RNA", at positions 523 to 898 of the family's 1533-position model. The record is from RNAcentral.
AUACGUAGGGUGCGAGCGUUGUCCGGAAUUAUUGGGCGUAAAGGGCUCGUAGGCGGUUUGUCGCGUCGGGAGUGAAAACAUCCAGCUUAACUGGGUGCUUGCUUCCGAUACGGGCAGACUAGAGGUAUGCAGGGGAGAACGGAAUUCCUGGUGUAGCGGUGAAAUGCGCAGAUAUCAGGAGGAACACCGGUGGCGAAGGCGGUUCUCUGGGCAUUACCUGACGCUGAGGAGCGAAAGUGUGGGGAGCGAACAGGAUUAGAUACCCUGGUAGUCCACACCGUAAACGUUGGGCGCUAGGUGUGGGGCCUAUUCCAUGGGUUCCGUGCCGCAGCUAACGCAUUAAGCGCCCCGCCUGGGGAGUACGGCCGCAAGGCUAAA